CGACGAGUGGCGGACGGGUGAGUAAUACAUAGGAAUCUGCCUUAUAGUGGGGGACAACCUGGGGAAACCCAGGCUAAUACCGCAUACGCCCUUCGGGGGAAAGGCUUCGGCCGCUAUUAGAUGAGCCUAUGUCUGAUUAGCUUGUUGGUGGGGUAAUGGCCUACCAAGGCGACGAUCAGUAGCUGGUCUGAGAGGACGAUCAGCCACACUGGGACUGAGACACGGCCCAG
RNAcentral lists this ribosomal RNA (230 nucleotides) under uncultured bacterium. RNAcentral's name for it is "partial 16S ribosomal RNA". It matches the Rfam family "Bacterial small subunit ribosomal RNA", at positions 89 to 334 of the family's 1533-position model. The record is from RNAcentral.